RNAcentral lists this ribosomal RNA (450 nucleotides) under uncultured bacterium. RNAcentral's name for it is "partial 16S ribosomal RNA". It matches the Rfam family "Bacterial small subunit ribosomal RNA", at positions 354 to 796 of the family's 1533-position model. The record is from RNAcentral.
GUGGGGAAUAUUGCACAAUGGGCGCAAGCCUGAUGCAGCCAUGUCGCGUGUGUGAAGAAGGCCUUCGGGUUGUAAAGCACUUUCAGCGGGGAGGAAGGCGGUGAGGUUAAUAACCUCAUCGAUUGACGUUACCCGCAGAAGAAGCACCGGCUAACUCCGUGCCAGCAGCCGCGGUAAUACGGAGGGUGCAAGCGUUAAUCGGAAUUACUGGGCGUAAAGCGCACGCAGGCGGUCUGUCAAGUCGGAUGUGAAAUCCCCGGGCUCAACCUGGGAACUGCAUUCGAAACUGGCAGGCUAGAGUCUUGUAGAGGGGGGUAGAAUUCCAGGUGUAGCGGUGAAAUGCGUAGAGAUCUGGAGGAAUACCGGUGGCGAAGGCGGCCCCCUGGACAAAGACUGACGCUCAGGUGCGAAAGCGUGGGGAGCAAACAGGAUUAGAAACCCCGGUAGUCC